GACGAACGCUGGCGGCGUGCUUAACACAUGCAAGUCGAACGGAAAGGCCUGCUUUCCCUUGUGGAUUGCGGGUACUCGAGUGGCGAACGGGUGAGUAACACGUGAGUGAUCUGCCCCCAACUUGGGUAUAAGCCUGGGAAACUGGGUCUAAUUCCCGAUAGGACUGCAGGGUGGUGCCUGUGGUGGAAAACGAUUUUUUAGUGGUUGGGGAUGAGCUCGCGGCCUAUCAGCUUGUUGGUGGGGUAAUGGCCUACCAAGGCGGCGACGGGUAGCCGGCCUGAGAGGGUGGACGGCCACAUUGGGACUGGGAUACGGCCCAGACUCCUACGGGAGGCAGCAGUGGGGAAUAUUGCACAAUGGGAGGAAGCCUGAUGCAGCGACGCCGCGUGGGGGAUGACGGCCUUCGGGUUGUAAACUCCUUUCGACCGCGAGGAAGCCACCUGGUUGGAAGGGUGGUGACGGUAGUGGUAGAAGAAGCACCGGCUAACUACGUG
This 494-nucleotide ribosomal RNA is filed under the name uncultured bacterium. Its description in RNAcentral is "partial 16S ribosomal RNA". It matches the Rfam family "Bacterial small subunit ribosomal RNA", at positions 28 to 507 of the family's 1533-position model. The record is from RNAcentral.